AUGUCAAUCCGCCUCGGCGCGGUCACCACUGUGGUCGUCUCCUCCCCCGCCAUGGCCCGGGAGUUCCUGCAGAAGCUUGACUCUGUGCUCGCCACCCGGUCCGUGCCCGACGCCACCGGCAAGCACGCGGCGGGCUCCGUCCCCUGGCUGCCCGCGGAGCCGCGGUGGCGCGCUCUCCGCAAGAUCAUGGCCACGGAGCUCUUCGCGCCGCACCUGCUCGACGCGCUCACGGACCACGUCGCGCGGCUGGGGCGCGAGGGCACGGCGGUGAACAUCGGACGCGUGGCCUUCACGACCAGCCUGAACCUUAUCUCUCGCACCGUCUUCUCCAUUGACUUCACGAGCCUGGACGACAUGAGCAGUUCCAAAGAGUUCCAAGAGGUGAUCACGGCCAUCAUGGAAGGCUUGGGGACCCCGAACAUGUCCGACUUCUUCCCGGUGCUCGCCCCGGCCGACCUGCAGGGCAUGCGCCGGCGGCUGGCGCGGCUGUUCGCGCGGCUGCACGCCAUGUUCGACGCCGAGGUGGACCAGAGGCUGCGCGGCCGCGACGCCGGCCAGCCCAGGAAGUACGACUUCCUCCACGUGCUGCUCGAUGUGGCAGCGCGUGAGGAUGGCAAGGACUUGCUCGACCGUGAGACGCUACGCUCACAUUUCACGGAUUUGUUUGCUGCCGGUAGUGACACAAGCUCUAGCACAGUGGAAUGGGCAAUGACUGAGCUUCUCCAAAACCCAUCAUCAUUGGCUAAGGUCUGCGACGUGCUUGCACAAAUUAGCGGCUCAAGAAGAAACAUUGAAGAAGUUGAUAUUGUUUGA
This 813-nucleotide ribosomal RNA is filed under the name Triticum aestivum (bread wheat). RNAcentral's name for it is "partial small subunit ribosomal RNA". Lineage: Eukaryota; Viridiplantae; Streptophyta; Magnoliopsida; Poales; Poaceae. The record is from RNAcentral.